RNAcentral lists this ribosomal RNA (253 nucleotides) under uncultured bacterium. Its description in RNAcentral is "partial 16S ribosomal RNA". It matches the Rfam family "Archaeal small subunit ribosomal RNA", at positions 474 to 727 of the family's 1478-position model. The record is from RNAcentral. RNAcentral also lists the same sequence under 1 other name.
UACCAGCACCCCGAGUGGUCGGGACGAUUAUUGGGCCUAAAGCAUCCGUAGCCGGUUCUGCAAGUCCCCCGUUAAAUCCAGCUGCUCAACAGAUGGGCCGCGGAGGAUACUCCAGAGCUAGGAGGCAGGAGAGGCAAGCGGUACUCAGUGGGUAGGGGUAAAAUCCGUUGAUCCAUUGAAGACCACCAGUGGCGAAGGCGGCUUGCCAGAAUGCGCUCGACGGUGAGGGAUGAAAGCUGGGGGAGCAAACCGG